Long non-coding RNA from Pseudopipra pipra, 270 nucleotides. RefSeq lists it as uncharacterized. The transcript is spliced from 3 exons. NCBI's taxonomy places the organism in Eukaryota, Metazoa, Chordata, Aves, Passeriformes, Pipridae. The record is from RefSeq and is a predicted model, not a curated record.
GCAGCUCCCUGACUGGGAUGAAUAGUCCUUGCUGCACUUAAAAGGAAAAACAGCAUAUGGGUGAGCAGGAGGCCCCCAGCUAAUAGAAAUGCACUAUUGAAAGAAGUCUCAUAUGUUUUACGAGCAGCCAGAAGGUGUUGCUGGAAAAGCAUCAGCUGAUUAACUAUUAUUCAGGGAGAAGUUGGAGCAUGGGAGAGCAAAUUUAUAAAGAAACCAGGAAAUUCAAACUCAGUUCUCUUGAAUAAAAAGGAUUGAUGUUCAAAAGAAUUC